RNAcentral lists this long non-coding RNA (470 nucleotides) under Equus caballus (horse). Its description in RNAcentral is "lncRNA (ENSECAG00000052728.1)". The record is from RNAcentral. Lineage: Eukaryota; Metazoa; Chordata; Mammalia; Perissodactyla; Equidae.
CCAAGUCACUGGGAGGCCUGGAGACCAGGCUCAGGGUUUGCAGCCAGAGCAAUCCCCAAAUCACGCUGCAGAACGUUCCUGUAGGGACACCACAGCCGUUACUAAAGCUGUCUACACGGCUGCCCCCGGACACUGGACGCAGCCAGGUGCCUCUGUGCCAUGGCUGUCCUGGGAGCUCAGUCUGGCUGCCACCACCACCAGCACCAGAGAGAGCGGGCCUCCCCCUCCUCGCUCAGCAGCCCCAGCCCCCGCUUCCAAGUCUAGGUUCUCUGUUGAAGUUUUCACUGAGUUCAUCCAUGCUUCUGCCAAGAUCAUCUUUAGGUGCUGGGGGUCAAUAAAGGGAAUAAAAUCUGAUUCCUGCCUUCUAAGAGCAUACCGUCUGUGUAAAUAAACUCACCAUGAAUUGAAUGUGAUCAAAGCUUCAGCAGAGGCAGCCUUGGAAGCUAUUGGCAGUGGAAGGAGGUUGAGAA